UCUUUUCUCUCUGUGUCUGCUGUCUCUGUCUCUCUCUCUGUCUCUCUCUCUCUCUCUAAGUAACUAACUACUAGCCCAUUGUUCCCGAAUGACAACGUGCUUUAACCUUAAAUGGAUACAAGCACAAAAAUAACUAAACAUUAAUUAAUAUGUUCCACUACGACUACCACGGCCAUCAUCACCCAUUCUUUUUACAAAAUCCUACAUCCGCUCAUGUAUACUAUAUCACCUUCCACCAAUUAUUAAACGUGAUGACCAACUUACUUGCUUUGAUUUUCCUUGAGAAGGUUUUCUUGUAGAACAUGCCCUUCACUUCAGAGCAUUUCCUGGAAUCGCGUAACUCGUUGACGAAAUACCCCCAACUGGGUCCUCUCGAACUGGGAUUUUCUCUGACGUCGUAGUCGUUGUCAAAGUCAUAUUCGAAAUUGUGGCGGACAGCGUUGGCAUUUGUGCCAAUUACGGAGAGAGCGACAAAGGUGCUUGAAGCGGGCUCUUGAAGAUUUCCUCCAGAUUUAAGUCCUUGAUAUUUAAAAAGUGUAAUCGCCUGGCCGUCUACUACGUAGAUUAGUAAUUCCAGUAAUACCCGAAGAUGUUCGGUGUUAAGUACAAGAAUCUGCAUGGCGGUAAUAUGACAUGCGAAUUUUCCGGGAAGAAAAACUUCUGUGACGAUUUCAGCGUGAUGAGGAUGGACUCCUGGAAACGCCGGUCGUACUUGUCUAUCUCGCUGGGAA
This is a long non-coding RNA of Gigantopelta aegis, 731 nucleotides long. RefSeq lists it as uncharacterized. The transcript has 3 exons. Lineage: Eukaryota; Metazoa; Mollusca; Gastropoda; Neomphalida; Peltospiridae. The record is from RefSeq and is a predicted model, not a curated record.